AACGAACGCUGGCGGCAUGCCUAACACAUGCAAGUCGAACGAGACCUUCGGGUCUAGUGGCGCACGGGUGCGUAACGCGUGGGAACCUGCCCUUAGGUUCGGAAUAACUCCCCGAAAGGGGUGCUAAUACCGGAUAAUGUCUUCGGACCAAAGAUUUAUCGCCUUUGGAUGGGCCCGCGUUGGAUUAGCUUGUUGGUAGGGUAAAAGCCUACCAAGGGGACGAUCCAUAGCUGGUCUGAGAGGAUGAUCAGCCACACUGGGACUGAGACACAGCCCAGACUCCUACGGGAGGCAGCAGUGGGGAAUAUUGGACAAUGGGCGAAAGCCUGAUCCAGCAAGGCCGCGUGAGUGAUGAAGGCCUUAGGGUUGUAAAGCUCUUUUACCCGGGAUGAUAAUGACAGUACCGGGAGAAUAAGCUCCGGCUAACUCCGUG
Molecule: ribosomal RNA, 433 nt
Filed under: uncultured bacterium
Lineage: Bacteria
Description: partial 16S ribosomal RNA
Rfam family: Bacterial small subunit ribosomal RNA
Source: RNAcentral